Molecule: long non-coding RNA, 619 nt
Organism: Gadus morhua (Atlantic cod)
Lineage: Eukaryota; Metazoa; Chordata; Actinopteri; Gadiformes; Gadidae
Exons: 3
Source: RefSeq, a predicted model, not a curated record
AAUUCCUUAAAAUAGACAAUAACAUGCGGAACAUCAACUCAACUGUUUUUGGACGGGUUUCCUUCUCUUUCGACCAGCGUACAGACACUCUCCCGGUGGAAUCAUCAUCUGGUGGCGGAUUGAAUCUCAUUGACCCCCCCCCCCCUUGCGUCUUUCGCACGCAACCUUCCUCGGCACGCGAGGAGGAGGGCUCCCGUGAGCUCAUCCACAAGCACGCGCUUCCUCUGGGGACUCGGAGCGGCGGACGCGCCAUCCUCCUUCAGGGACGGUUACAACGGACCGCGCCUCGCAACGUGCGGAUGGAGAAUGAAGUGGUCGGGAUGUAUUCGGUUCAGCUUUGUUUUGUUGACGUGUGAUACCAGUUGACCAAUUCACUCUUUUUCAAAGAACCCUCCUCAUCGACUGUGGAUGGAGAAAUAAAAAUCAACGCCAUCUCCCACUGAAACGUAUUCAAAGCAUUCGCCUCAACUUACAUUAAAGAUUUACAUUGCAAAAUGUUCUUCCUUGAUCUAAUGACCACAUUAAAAAAAACAGAUCCUCCACAAAGCAACAUCAGCAUGCAUGCAUAUUAAAUGGUUAAACCGAUUAAAGUGGUUGCCCACCUGAAAGUAAACCCAAA